UCAUAUGGCCGGCCAAACAAAGAACAAAGAAGAACAAAAGGAGAAAAGAAAAACAAAAACCCUAGGUGAAGAAUUUCAAGAGAAAAGUGUGGGAAAUUCAAGGAAACAAGUGACAAAAGGUAAAAUUUCUUGAUUUUGACUUGUGAUCUACCUUUCCCAUGCAUUUCUCCUUAUUUUCCAUGGUUAAAUUUCAUGUUGUCAUGGUGAAUUCAUAGCUGGUCAAAAUGGGUAUGGAGAGAGAAAGAUGUUGGAUUGAUUUGAUUUUAAGUUAUGUUAGUGUUUUUAGUUAGUUUAGCAUAUUUAGAAACAAAACAACAAGAAAAAAAAUUCAUUUUCCCCCAUCACCAUCAUUGGCCGAAUUUUCUAGGGAGGAUAUUGUGGCUGAAAUUGAUGAUAUUUCAUGAUAUUUGGGUGAUAAUUGAUGUUUGGUGAGGCUAGAAAUUAAAUGGGAAAUUUUGGUGUGAAAAUUUGAAUUUUUCUCAACGUAUAGACAUGUGUGAUUAUUGACCCAGGACUGAUAAAUUGAAUCUCAUUCACAGUCACUGGGGUAAUUUAGGUAUAAUUGGAGUGUAGAAAGUGAGAAGAAUUAAUUUGGAGUUAAAUUGAAGAUUUUAGCUAAUUACAUCGAGAAUAGUGCGAAUUAGGUCGAAUACCGUAUUUAAACGGCUAUUCGGACAUUUUGCAUCACAUUUCGUGCAUUCAUAUAGAUUUAUAAAGCCUAAAAUAGUUUAUGAUAAAUUGACACAAGUUAUUGAAAUUCAUGUCACGUAUGAUGUAUAGGUGGUGAGCCUUCUAACAAGAGUAAAGAGAUUGUGCCCGAAGAUUGGGUAUAAGAGUAUAUCGAACUCUUAGUACUAUGAGUAACCUUAUCAUCAUUUUAAUUAUCUAAAGUAUGAUUUUAAUCGGUUUUGGUGGAAUUUUAUGAAAAUGAGUUUAAAUGGUUAAUUUUUGGUUUUACAAAUAAAAUAUGUUUAAAUAAAAUGAUUUUAUAAAUUGUCUUGAAACAAAAUAACAAUUUUGAAAAAUACAGUAAUUAGAGACCACUAGUAUGCUGUAGAUUUAUGAUUGUUUACAUUGAUUGGCUUAUGAUAAAUUGAGAAUGAUUGGCUGGUUGACAAUUGUAUUGAAAUACGGAUUUGGUUGUUUGCCUUGAAAGGCUGUGAAUUACAAUAAUUGCCAUAUCAUGUUAUUGAGUUUUAUUGAUUGGUGGGAUAAUUAUUAGCUUACUGCAGUAGGCGAGUUUUCGUGGACUAGCCUAUUAGAGGGGCACGGUAAACCCCGUUAUAUUUUACCUCGGUUGGAGAGGCGAGUAGGGUAACUUCUGAGGUAUAACUUUUAGAGUUCACUUCACGCCAAACCACCACGUGAGGGGGAACUCGGCCAACGCCAAGGAACGACUAUAUUUUCAAAGUAAAAACAUGAUUUAUGUGUUCAUAACUUUUUAACAGCCUUGGCGGACUCGGUUAGGAUAGCCCUCGAUUAAGGUAUCCCUGAUAAUUGAGUAUGAUAAUUAUUUUGGCACGAGCCAAAGUUUUAAGAAGUUCAUAAGUCACACUGAUUACUUGAUUUAAAUAAAUUGAUUUCAUUUCAUUGAAAUAAGUCGAAAGAUGAUAAAUUACAGUUUGAUGAAAUGUUUUAAUAGUCUCAUUUUACUCGCCUUUAGAUAUUUUAAAUGAUAUUUGUUUACUCACUGGGAUUUUAUAAUCUCACCACCCUCUUUUUCACCCAUUUCAGGCUUGGAAUAGAUUGUAGAUAAUUGAUAUCGACGAGGACUACAGUUGGACUUGUCACAUCCAAAAACUGUAGGUUCAUUUUUUUUUAUACUUUUAGUCAUUCGUGGGCCCACAUGUCACAGUAAUUUAAAUUUUAUACUUUGGUUAUCUGUAUUACAGUAUGUAAGAAUUUAUUUUACUUUUACGCUGUAAAAAUUAUUUAUGCAGUGUUCUUAAAAUAUUGUUUUAUGAGAAAAUUGAAUAUUUUAUUCAAUAUUUUUAUUUUAUACUAAUAGUCAUAAUUUAUUUUAAACGAA
RNAcentral lists this long non-coding RNA (2029 nucleotides) under Theobroma cacao (cacao). RNAcentral's name for it is "long non-coding RNA (TCAC_LNC003767)". Lineage: Eukaryota; Viridiplantae; Streptophyta; Magnoliopsida; Malvales; Malvaceae. The record is from RNAcentral.